Molecule: ribosomal RNA, 505 nt
Filed under: uncultured bacterium
Lineage: Bacteria
Description: partial 16S ribosomal RNA
Rfam family: Bacterial small subunit ribosomal RNA
Source: RNAcentral
GACGAACGCUGGCGGCGUGCCUAAUACAUGCAAGUAGAACGCACAGUUUAUACCGUAGCUUGCUACACCACAGACUGUGAGUUGCGAACGGGUGAGUAACGCGUAGGUAACCUGCCUGGUAGCGGGGGAUAACUAUUGGAAACGAUAGCUAAUACCGCAUAAUAUUAAUUAUUGCAUGAUAAUUAAUUGAAAGGUGCAAUUGCACCACUACCAGAUGGACCUGCGUUGUAUUAGCUAGUAGGUGAGGUAACGGCUCACCUAGGCGACGAUACAUAGCCGACCUGAGAAGGUGAACCGCCACACUGGGACUGAGACCCGGCCCAGAGUGCCACAGGAAGCAGCAGUAGGGAAUCUUCGGCCAUGGGCGGAAGUCUGACCGAGCAACGCCGCGGGAGUGAAGAAGGUUUUCGGGUCGUAAAGCUCUGUUGUAAGGGAAGAAAGGGUGUGAGAGUGGAAAGUUCACACUGUGACGGUAGCUUACCAGAAAGCGACGGCUAACUACGUG